This 253-nucleotide ribosomal RNA is filed under the name uncultured bacterium. Its description in RNAcentral is "partial 16S ribosomal RNA". It matches the Rfam family "Bacterial small subunit ribosomal RNA", at positions 524 to 776 of the family's 1533-position model. The record is from RNAcentral.
UACAGAGGUCUCAAGCGUUGUCCGGAAUCACUGGGCGUAAAGGGUGCGUAGGCGGGGCUUUAAGUCAGGGGUGAAAUCCUGGAGCUCAACUCCAGAACUGCCUUUGAUACUGAAGAUCUUGAGUUCGGGAGAGGUGAGUGGAACUGCGAGUGUAGAGGUGAAAUUCGUAGAUAUUCGCAAGAACACCAGUGGCGAAGGCGGCUCACUGGCCCGAUACUGACGCUGAUGCACGAAAGCGUGGGGAGCAAACAGG